Molecule: transfer RNA, 76 nt
Filed under: Citrobacter koseri
Lineage: Bacteria; Pseudomonadati; Pseudomonadota; Gammaproteobacteria; Enterobacterales; Enterobacteriaceae
Also listed under: 4 other names
Description: tRNA-Val
Rfam family: tRNA
About the family: Transfer RNA (tRNA) molecules are approximately 80 nucleotides in length.
Source: RNAcentral
GGGUGAUUAGCUCAGCUAGGAGAGCACCUCCCUUACAAGGAGGGGGUCGGCGGUUCGAUCCCGUCAUCACCCACCA